This 626-nucleotide ribosomal RNA is filed under the name Cellulosimicrobium cellulans. RNAcentral describes it as "bacterial SSU rRNA". It matches the Rfam family "Bacterial small subunit ribosomal RNA", at positions 61 to 701 of the family's 1533-position model. Lineage: Bacteria; Bacillati; Actinomycetota; Actinomycetes; Micrococcales; Promicromonosporaceae. The record is from RNAcentral.
GUCGAACGAUGAUGCCCAGCUUGCUGGGCGGAUUAGUGGCGAACGGGUGAGUAACACGUGAGUAACCUGCCCUUGACUUCGGGAUAACUCCGGGAAACCGGGGCUAAUACCGGAUAUGAGCCGUCCUCGCAUGGGGGUGGUUGGAAAGUUUUUCGGUCAGGGAUGGGCUCGCGGCCUAUCAGCUUGUUGGUGGGGUGAUGGCCUACCAAGGCGACGACGGGUAGCCGGCCUGAGAGGGCGACCGGCCACACUGGGACUGAGACACGGCCCAGACUCCUACGGGAGGCAGCAGUGGGGAAUAUUGCACAAUGGGCGAAAGCCUGAUGCAGCGACGCCGCGUGAGGGAUGAAGGCCUUCGGGUUGUAAACCUCUUUCAGCAGGGAAGAAGCGCAAGUGACGGUACCUGCAGAAGAAGCGCCGGCUAACUACGUGCCAGCAGCCGCGGUAAUACGUAGGGCGCAAGCGUUGUCCGGAAUUAUUGGGCGUAAAGAGCUCGUAGGCGGUUUGUCGCGUCUGGUGUGAAAACUCGAGGCUCAACCUCGAGCUUGCAUCGGGUACGGGCAGACUAGAGUGCGGUAGGGGAGACUGGAAUUCCUGGUGUAGCGGUGGAAUGCGCAGAUAUCAGG